This 442-nucleotide ribosomal RNA is filed under the name uncultured bacterium. RNAcentral describes it as "partial 16S ribosomal RNA". It matches the Rfam family "Bacterial small subunit ribosomal RNA", at positions 339 to 795 of the family's 1533-position model. The record is from RNAcentral.
CUACGGGCGGCACCAGUGGGGAAUAUUGGGCAAUGGGCGAAAGCCUGACCCAGCAACGCCGCGUGAUUGAAGAAGGUCUUCGGAUUGUAAAAAUCUGUCCUUGGGGACGAAAAAAAUGACGGUACCCAAGGAGGAAGCCCCGGCUAACUACGUGCCAGCAGCCGCGGUAAUACGUAGGGGGCGAGCGUUGUCCGGAAUUACUGGGCGUAAAGGGUGCGCAGGCGGCGCUUUAAGUCAGAUGUGAAAUACCCAGGCUUAACCUGGGGGGUGCAUUUGAAACUGGAGUGCUUGAGUGCAGGAGAGGAAAGUGGAAUUCCUAGUGUAGCGGUGAAAUGCGUAGAUAUUAGGAGGAACACCAGUGGCGAAGGCGACUUUCUGGACUGUAACUGACGCUGAGGCACGAAAGCGUGGGGAGCAAACAGGAUUAGAUACCCGUGUAGUC